AGACUUUUUCUUCCGCCUUCUCCCUCAGCUACUUCACCUUCCAAACCUUCUUUCUUUAAACCUCUCUUGAGACCCAUCUCUGUUUCACUCCCAACUUCAACCACCAUCUCUUUCUUGGCUGUCUUCACACCUUCUCAUGNNNNNNNNNNNNAGACAAUUGAUCAGGUUCAGGAAGUUGGUUCAGGUUUCUUGGACACUGCUCAACGUGUUUUUGGGAUUGUUAGUGAUUCUUUGAAGCCUGGCGUAGACGCAGCAUUGCCAAUUGUAAAGCAAGCUGGGGAUCAAGCUUUGAAGAUUGCUUCUCCUGCAAUUUCAGAG
RNAcentral lists this unclassified non-coding RNA (318 nucleotides) under Hevea brasiliensis (rubber tree). The record is from RNAcentral. Lineage: Eukaryota; Viridiplantae; Streptophyta; Magnoliopsida; Malpighiales; Euphorbiaceae.